RNAcentral lists this ribosomal RNA (194 nucleotides) under Pseudourostyla cristata. RNAcentral describes it as "5.8S ribosomal RNA". The stretch from base 24 to 175 matches the Rfam family "5.8S ribosomal RNA". Rfam says of the family: 5.8S ribosomal RNA (5.8S rRNA) is a component of the large subunit of the eukaryotic ribosome. It is transcribed by RNA polymerase I as part of the 45S precursor that also contains 18S and 28S rRNA. Functionally, it is thought that 5.8S rRNA may be involved in ribosome translocation. Lineage: Eukaryota; Ciliophora; Spirotrichea; Urostylida; Pseudourostylidae. The record is from RNAcentral.
AACUAAGCUCAACUCCAAAACCAAAUUCUCAACGAUGGAUAUCUUGGUUCCCAUAACGAUGAAGAACGCAGCGAAGUGCGAUAAGCAAUGCGAAUUGCAGAACCGUGAGUCAUCAGAUUUUUGAACGCAAUUGGCGUCGAUUGGAACUCCAGUCGGCAUGCUUGUUUCAGUGUCUCGUUAUCUCCCCACCCAAA